CAGAAGAGGAAUCAGUCAGGAGCUAUUAAUUUAAUUGAUCAGUUUAAUUGAUACGCUUUUAUGAAGAAGUGGGUUUUUAACGAUUUUUUGAAGGAGUGGAGACUGGGCGAGCAUCUAACGGAGGAGGGAAACGAGUUCCACAGGAAUGGUGCAGCCCUCGAGAAAUCUUGAAGGCGAGCAUCAGAGGUGGGAGUACGGACAGAAGAUAGAUGUAAGUCUUCAGCAG
Pelobates cultripes (western spadefoot toad) is the source of this 226-nucleotide non-coding RNA. Lineage: Eukaryota; Metazoa; Chordata; Amphibia; Anura; Pelobatidae. The record is from the annotation of a GenBank genome assembly.